This 317-nucleotide long non-coding RNA is filed under the name Rattus norvegicus (Norway rat). RNAcentral describes it as "long non-coding RNA NONRATT004752". Lineage: Eukaryota; Metazoa; Chordata; Mammalia; Rodentia; Muridae. The record is from RNAcentral.
ACGGGUCUCUUGCUGCAGCAACGCGAGUGGGAGUACCUGGAGCGCGAGCUCGGAACGAGAAUCCACGAGUUGUAAGAAAAUGGCAGACAAGCCGGACAUGGGGGAAAUCGCCAGCUUCGAUAAGGCCAAGCUGAAGAAAACCGAGACGCAGGAGAAAAACACCCUGCUGACCAAAGAGACCAUUGAACAGGAAAAGAGGAGUGAAAUCUCCUAAAAGCCUAGGAAGAUUUCCCCACCCCACCCCUUCAUCUCCAAGACCCCCUCGUGAUGUGGAGGAAGAGCCACCGGCAAGAUGGACGCGAGCCACAAGCUGCACU